UUUAAUUUCUAAUGAGAACUUGAUAUUGUUUUCUAUUUAUUAUAUUAGCUAAAAAUAUAUCUAACUUUCUGUCCCGUAACAAUAAGUACAGAAAGUAAUAAGCUGAGUUAGCUGAGUUAAAUAAGUUGAGUGGAAUUGCAGUCCACAAUAGACCUAACGAUAAGAGGCUCAACAAUAGACCUAACGUUCAGAUAGAUUAAGUCAAAUCGAACACCGUGAACAUUGUAGUUGAGCCCUUAAAUGCCAUGAAUUUGUUUUUUUCUAUAAACACAUGUUUUUGGGAUAGUUGGUUAGCAUUCACAAUCCACAAAUAUGGGUGAAAGUUUAAAUCUUUUUUUAUUUUAAGAGGUCACCAU
RNAcentral lists this long non-coding RNA (356 nucleotides) under Ananas comosus (pineapple). Its description in RNAcentral is "long non-coding RNA (ACOM_LNC000225)". Lineage: Eukaryota; Viridiplantae; Streptophyta; Magnoliopsida; Poales; Bromeliaceae. The record is from RNAcentral.